GCCAUCUUAGCUCAGUUGGUAGAGCAACGCACUUGUAAUGCGUGGGUCGUCAGUUCGAGUCUGACAGGUGGCU
RNAcentral lists this transfer RNA (73 nucleotides) under Candidatus Moranbacteria bacterium CG_4_9_14_3_um_filter_45_14. RNAcentral describes it as "tRNA-Thr". It matches the Rfam family "tRNA". From Rfam's summary of the family: Transfer RNA (tRNA) molecules are approximately 80 nucleotides in length. The record is from RNAcentral. Lineage: Bacteria; Candidatus Moraniibacteriota.